Bombyx mori (domestic silkworm) is the source of this 85-nucleotide non-coding RNA. The record is from Rfam. Lineage: Eukaryota; Metazoa; Arthropoda; Insecta; Lepidoptera; Bombycidae.
UUGGCUCAAAUUUGUAUGGAAAUGCAACAGCUUCCCUUUGUUUGCCGCUAGGGGCGCUGUUCCAACUGCACACAAAUUUGAGUUA